Molecule: long non-coding RNA, 337 nt
Filed under: Elaeis guineensis (African oil palm)
Lineage: Eukaryota; Viridiplantae; Streptophyta; Magnoliopsida; Arecales; Arecaceae
Description: long non-coding RNA (EGUI_LNC040576)
Source: RNAcentral
AGUUCUCAAUCAUGGAGUUCGACUACCCACGCUCAGGUGUUGGAUUCGAAAUCCUAGAAGUAGUAGAUUAGAUCUAUUACUAAUUAUUGAUUUUUGGUUCACAUACUUAUUGUUUUAAAUUCAAAUUUUUAUGUAUAUAAAUUCAUGUUAUAGAUCCAUUUAUCAAAAUUUUAAAGAUUAGAUCUUACGCAUGCAUUUGUAGAUUAAAUAGUUUAAUCUAAUAUUCUUUCAUUGAAAAUAUUUUGAAAUGCAUGCAUGAAACCCCUGUGUAUCUCAACAAUUAGAUCUGAUUUUUAUCAUAGAAAAUCAAAGAAGAAAAGUUCUUCUUGAAGGUGUG